UUGUCAGGGUUCUAGGCUGGAGCAUGGAUAUCCUUAGGUCAGUUUUUUUCUGACUUUUAUAUGUUGAGGGCGAGCUAAAGCUCAAGUUUCUUCCCAGCAUCAGCACUUUGUUUUUCUUUAAAGGUCCUUGGCUAUGACCGAGGUUUUCGUGAGAGGUCACUUUUGGCCAACCUCAAUCGACUUCUUUCUUAGUCUCUUUUUGUUAAGAAUCUAUACGAGGCUAAGAAAAACAAUAA
This 236-nucleotide long non-coding RNA is filed under the name Elaeis guineensis (African oil palm). Its description in RNAcentral is "long non-coding RNA (EGUI_LNC002510)". The record is from RNAcentral. Lineage: Eukaryota; Viridiplantae; Streptophyta; Magnoliopsida; Arecales; Arecaceae.